This is a non-coding RNA of Aspergillus heteromorphus CBS 117.55, 81 nucleotides long. The record is from the annotation of a RefSeq genome assembly. NCBI's taxonomy places the organism in Eukaryota, Fungi, Ascomycota, Eurotiomycetes, Eurotiales, Aspergillaceae.
GCCCGGUUAGCUCAAUCGGUAGAGCGUGUGGCUUUUAUGAAGCACACCUCAAGGUUGCGAGUUCGAGCCUCGCAUCGGGCG